RNAcentral lists this transfer RNA (76 nucleotides) under Bacteroidales bacterium. RNAcentral describes it as "tRNA-His". It matches the Rfam family "tRNA". From Rfam's summary of the family: Transfer RNA (tRNA) molecules are approximately 80 nucleotides in length. Their secondary structure includes four short double-helical elements and three loops (D, anti-codon, and T loops). Lineage: Bacteria; Pseudomonadati; Bacteroidota; Bacteroidia; Bacteroidales. The record is from RNAcentral.
GUGGAUGUAGCUCAGCAGGUUAGAGCGCUGGAUUGUGGUUCCAGAGGUCGCCGGUUCGAGUCCGGUCUUCCACCCA